Meriones unguiculatus (Mongolian gerbil) is the source of this 1548-nucleotide long non-coding RNA. RefSeq lists it as uncharacterized. The transcript is spliced from 7 exons. The record is from RefSeq and is a predicted model, not a curated record. NCBI's taxonomy places the organism in Eukaryota, Metazoa, Chordata, Mammalia, Rodentia, Muridae.
ACAUAAAUAUUUUCAUCUUGGAAAUAGUGACAUAAGGAUUUUUUUCAUCUUGGCACCUGUCUCCAUCAUUUGUGUGGAUUCUAUAGACUCAUGAAUUUGGAUGGCAGUUUUCUCAUCUGGAUGUCGCCUACCCUGCUGUGGUCGGUGACUGUGACAAAGGGCGAGAUUCCCAACAUGCAUCACAAAACAUCUGAAGACCACUGUGGGGUAGAGAAGCCAACCCAGAGAGCCGCCACGGUGCCCCUUAAGGAACUCUGAUGAAUCAAAAGACUGAGAGCUAUUCGGAAAGGUAAAUUGUGUCUCUUGACCCUUCUAAACUGGAUGAAGAAAAACCAGUGCAGCAUGUCCAGGUAUAAACUAAGCAAGAGAUGAAGUUUUAAAAACAAAACAAAACAGGACUGCACUGCACUGAGGAGUCAGCGUGGAGGGCAGACAAGUCAUGAAGCAAAACAAACAAAUGAACAAACAACAACUAGAGAGCUGUUGGGUAUUACUACGGCUAUCUUCUGUAUGUGUAGACUCAUGAUUACAUGGAUAUAAAAAAAUAUUAGAAAAACUAACCCAGGUGCAUCAAGAUCUUCAUUAGAAGUACAUAAGCACCAGAAAUAACAACAACAAUAACAACAAAAACAGAACAGAAAAUGACCCGUGUUUUUGCAAGUUUUUAUGAAGGUGUCUUGUAAUGUGUCCCACCGGUUCUUCCCUGGAGUUUGCCUGGUAAGAUCAGCAAAUAGAAUAAGCCAGGAUGCUUUUAGCCAACUUGCAAAAUUACAAAACCCUACCUUUCAUUAGUUAAUUGCUUUAUCACAAUAAAAAAUAUUACGUAUUUCUUUUUUUGCAUUUUCUAUUUGUUUCUCAGAACAACUUUGUUUGGUAGACAUCUUUUAUAGAUGAAGAAAUAAAGGCUGUGAAGGGAUUAUGUCAUAAAUAUAUGUCAUACAGUUAAUAAACAACCAAAUAGAGAUUUGAUUGAAUCCUUAAUCUAUGACUCUCUCAUAACACCAUGCUUUUAUUUUAUUUUAUUUUAUUUUAUUUUUUCUUUUCUUUUCUUUAUUUUAUUUUGUUUUAUUUUGUUGGUGACACUUUAGAGAUGAUCUGUGCUUUCUUGGUUUGGUGACUGCAACUCCCUCAGUCUUGAUCAAUUCAUGUUGAAAAUUCUGUCCCAGCCUCGCGGCUGAUUUUCCUUCCUCGAGUGUCUCUACUGAAGUCAGUUCUGAUGCCGGUACCUCUCGAAUUCUAACACCACUAUUCCGCCAUCACUUUUAUCAGCUCCAGAUCUAUAACCUUCCUCCUGUAGUCGCGUUUGCUGUCUCCGAGCGAAGUGUUAGCGGUGUGGUUUAUGUCUCACUCAUUCUUGCAACCCACUUCUCUCUCGUACCGCCACACUAUAUUUUGCUUGGACAUUUUUUUCAUGUUCUGAACUACAUUUUACUUUCUUGAUUGUUACUUUUUCCUCAUCUAGUCCAUCUCUGAAGGAAUAUUUGAAAGCUUCCUUUUCCUGUUCCCCCUCAACUGUAAAACAUAUAGACUACGUACACGGUACCUUGU